AUAGAUUUAGCAUUGAUACGAGUGGCGAACUGGUGAGUAACAUGUGUCUUACUGCCCUUGAAGUAGGGGAGAACACUUGGAAUAAGGUGCUAAUACCGUAUAACAACCAAAACCACCUGGUUUUGGUUUAAAAGACGGCUUCGGCUGUCACUUUAGGAUGGACAAGCGGCGUAUUAGCUUGUUGGUAAGGUAACGGCCUACCAAGGCGAUGAUACGUAGCCGACCUGAGAGGGUAAUCGGCCACAUUGGGACUGAGACACGGCCCAAACUAAUACGGGAGGCAGCAGUAGGGAAUCUUCCACAAUGGACGAAAGUCUGAUGGAGCAACGCCGCGUGAGUGAUGAAGGGUUUCGGCUCGUAAAACUCUGUUGUUGGAGAAGAACAGGUGUCAGAGUAACUGUUGACAUCUUGACGGUAUCCAACCAGAAAGCCACGGCUAACUACGUGCCAGCAGCCGCGGUAAUACGUAGGUGGCAAGCGUUGUCCGGAUUUAUUGGGCGUAAAGCGAGCGCAGGCGGUUUUUUAGGUCUGAUGUGAAAGCCUUCGGCUUAACCGGAGAAGUGCAUCGGAAACCGGGAGACUUGAGUGCAGAAGAGGACAGUGGAACUC
This 609-nucleotide ribosomal RNA is filed under the name Lentilactobacillus buchneri. Its description in RNAcentral is "bacterial SSU rRNA". It matches the Rfam family "Bacterial small subunit ribosomal RNA", at positions 74 to 669 of the family's 1533-position model. Lineage: Bacteria; Bacillati; Bacillota; Bacilli; Lactobacillales; Lactobacillaceae. The record is from RNAcentral.